Molecule: ribosomal RNA, 301 nt
Filed under: uncultured bacterium
Lineage: Bacteria
Description: partial 16S ribosomal RNA
Rfam family: Bacterial small subunit ribosomal RNA
Source: RNAcentral
CAGCCGCCGCGGUAAUACGAAGGGGGCUAGCGUUGCUCGGAAUGACUGGGCGUAAAGGGCGCGUAGGCGGCUUGGUAAGUUAGAGGUGAGAGCCUGGAGCUCAACUCCAGAAUUGCCUUUAAGACUGCCGAGCUAGCAGGUGAGAGAGGUAAGUGGAAUUCCGAGUGUAGAGGUGAAAUUCGUAGAUAUUCGGAAGAACACCAGUGGCGAAGGCGGCUUACUGGCUCAUACUGGACGCUGAGGUGCGAAAGCGUGGGGAGCAAACAGGAUUAGAUACCCCCGUAGUCCCUGUCUCUUAUAC